CCUACGGGAGGCAGCAGUGAGGAAUAUUGGUCAAUGGACGAGAGUCUGAACCAGCCAAGUAUCGUGAAGGAUGACUGCCCUAUGGGUUGUAAACUUCUUUUAUGUGGGAAUAAAAUGUUCCACGUGUGGGAUUUUGUAUGUACCAUAUGAAUAAGGAUCGGCUAACUCCGUGCCAGCAGCCGCGGUAAUACGGAGGAUCCGAGCGUUAUCCGGAUUUAUUGGGUUUAAAGGGAGCGUAGGUGGAUUGUUAAGUCAGUUGUGAAAGUUUGCGGCUCAACCGUAAAAUUGCAGUUGAAACUGGCAGUCUUGAGUACAGUAGAGGUGGGCGGAAUUCGUGGUGUAGCGGUGAAAUGCUUAGAUAUCACGAAGAACUCCGAUUGCGAAGGCAGUUCACUGGACUGCAACUGACACUGAGGCUCGAAAGUGUGGGUAUCAAACAGGAUUAGAUACCCCAGUAGUC
This 460-nucleotide ribosomal RNA is filed under the name uncultured bacterium. RNAcentral describes it as "partial 16S ribosomal RNA". It matches the Rfam family "Bacterial small subunit ribosomal RNA", at positions 338 to 795 of the family's 1533-position model. The record is from RNAcentral.